UACGGAGGGUGCGAGCGUUAAUCGGAAUUACUGGGCGUAAAGAGCUCGUAGGCGGUUUGUUGCGUCGGCUGUGAAAUCCCGAGGCUCAACCUCGGGUCUGCAGUCGAUACGAGCAAACUAGAGUGUUGCAGGGGAGACUGGAAUUCCUGGUGUAGCGGUGAAAUGCGCAGAUAUCAGGAGGAACACCGGUGGCGAAGGCGGGUCUCUGGGCAACAACUGACGCUGAGGAGCGAAAGCGUGGGGAGCGAACAGG
RNAcentral lists this ribosomal RNA (253 nucleotides) under uncultured bacterium. RNAcentral's name for it is "partial 16S ribosomal RNA". It matches the Rfam family "Bacterial small subunit ribosomal RNA", at positions 524 to 776 of the family's 1533-position model. The record is from RNAcentral.